GGCAGUCAUCAUGAAGCAGAAUUAUGCUUCAGGAAGCCAGAAAAGGAAGAAGAGAAAGGAAGAGGAGGAUAAGAAAAAACAAGAUAGUGGUGCUUUGCUUAAAUUUCUCAGCCCUCAGGCUCUUCCUAAGGAUACCUCCACUGAUGAAGCUACACCAUCAACUUCAUCCUCAACAUCAACCGAUGCAUCACU
Long non-coding RNA from Sander lucioperca (pikeperch), 192 nucleotides. RefSeq lists it as uncharacterized. The record is from RefSeq and is a predicted model, not a curated record. NCBI's taxonomy places the organism in Eukaryota, Metazoa, Chordata, Actinopteri, Perciformes, Percidae. The transcript has 3 exons.